Molecule: long non-coding RNA, 472 nt
Organism: Paramacrobiotus metropolitanus
Lineage: Eukaryota; Metazoa; Tardigrada; Eutardigrada; Parachela; Macrobiotidae
Exons: 3
Source: RefSeq, a predicted model, not a curated record
CCACAGAUCGCGAUGGCUGCGGACAGCCGUUCUACAAUAUAACGGCUCAGCGCGUGCACCCCGUGCAUUAUGUAACCAAGGUGACCUAUCCUAUCUUUCUACUGAUCUGCACUGUCGGCAAUACGCUGAGCUUGAUUCUUCUGGGUCGCAAUUCACGCCAGCUACAAAGCGGCAAAUGGAUUUUGGUUAUGGCGUUGGCAUUCUCGGAUUUAAUGUAUAUGUAAGAGUCAAACACUUAGGUGGGCUCAGUUUUUCCCCUUCAUUACUACGGUAGCAACGCUACCUCCCACAUCAGGGUUCAUUAGUUUUGUUCGAGCUAUCGGAGGAAUCUGCACAUUCUUGAAAGAGGCAUUCAUAACAAGUUCCGACUGGAUCCUCGUGACCUUUAGCGUUCAACGAUUCUCGGGGACAUUUUUCCCUUCUUGUUAUGCGGGAUUCUCGAGAAAAGUGUCUGCGAGACGAGGAAUAUCAC